CGCCUACGGGACGCAGCAGUGAGGAAUAUUGGUCAAUGGGCUAAGGCCUGAACCGGCCAAGUCGCGUGAGGGAAGACGGUCCUAUGGAUUGUAAACCUCUUUUGUCAGGGAACAAAGGCGGGGACGUGUCCCCGGAUGAGUGUACCUGAAGAAAAAGCAUCGGCUAACUCCGUGCCAGCAGCCGCGGUAAUACGGAGGAUGCGAGCGUUAUCCGGAUUUAUUGGGUUUAAAGGGUGCGCAGGCGGUCUGUUAAGUCAGCGGUCAAAGCCCGGGGCUCAACCCCGGCCCG
This 289-nucleotide ribosomal RNA is filed under the name uncultured bacterium. Its description in RNAcentral is "partial 16S ribosomal RNA". It matches the Rfam family "Bacterial small subunit ribosomal RNA", at positions 336 to 622 of the family's 1533-position model. The record is from RNAcentral.